GACGAACGCUGGCGGCGUGCUUAACACAUGCAAGUCGAACGGAAAGGCCCUGCUUUUGUGGGGUGCUCGAGUGGCGAACGGGUGAGUAACACGUGAGUAACCUGCCCUUGACUUUGGGAUAACUUCAGGAAACUGGGGCUAAUACCGUAUAGGAGCUCCUGCUGCAUGGUGGGGGUUGGAAAGUUUCGGCGGGUGGGGAUGGACUCGCGGCUUAUCGGCUUGUUGGUGGGGUAGUGGCUUACCAAGGCUUUGACGGGUAGCCGGCCUGAGAGGGUGACCGGCCACAUUGGGCCUGAGAUACGGCCCAGACUCCUACGGGAGGCAGCAGUGGGGAAUAUUGCACAAUGGGCGGAAGCCUGAUGCAGCAACGCCGCGUGCGGGAUGACGGCCUUCGGGUUGUAAACCGCUUUAGCCUGUGACGAAGCGUGAGUGACGGUAAUGGGUAAAGAAGCACCGGCUAACUACGUG
RNAcentral lists this ribosomal RNA (468 nucleotides) under uncultured bacterium. RNAcentral's name for it is "partial 16S ribosomal RNA". It matches the Rfam family "Bacterial small subunit ribosomal RNA", at positions 28 to 507 of the family's 1533-position model. The record is from RNAcentral.